GUCAAGUAAGAAUACCCGCUGAACUUAAGCAUAUCAAUAAGCGGAGGAAAAGAAACUAACUAGGAUUCCCUUAGUAACGGCGAGUGAACUGGGAAGAGCUCAAAUUUUAAAUCACCUUUUGGUGAAUUGUAAUUUGAAGAAAGUGUUUUGACUUUUCAGUUUAAUCUAAAUCCUUUGGGAUGAGGUAUCAUAGAGGGUGAGAAUCCCGUUCCUGAUUAGACCUCGAAUUGCAUUAAUUCACUUUCCAAGAGUCGAGUUGUUUGGGAUUGCAGCUCAAAAUGGGUGGUAAAUUUCACCUAAGGCUAAAUAUAUGCAAGAGACCGAUAGCGAACAAGUACCGUGAGGGAAAGAUGAAAAGAACUUUGAAAAGAGAGUUAAACAGUACGUGAAAUUGUUGAAAGGGAAACGAUUGAAGUCAGUCAUGCUAGUGAGAAAUCAGCAAGGUGGUUUACUUCCUUGUGUACUUUCUUUCAGCAGGUUAGCAUCAAUUUUGGUUGUCAUCAAAUAAUUAGGGGAAUGUGGCUUCUCUUCGGUGAAGUGUUUAUAGACCCUGGUAGAUGUGGCGACUGGGAUUGAGGUUUGCAGCGGAUGCCUCUUGUGGCUAGUCACCUGUCUUCUGACCGUCACCUCGUUUUUGACAGCUUGCUGAUGAUUGCGGGAUUUGGCGAUCUAGGAGUUAGAGUGAAUAUAAAUUCGCUAAGGAUGCUGACGUAAUGGCUUUAAACGACCCGUCUUGAAACACGGACCAAGGAGUCUAACAUAUAUGCGAGUGUU
RNAcentral lists this ribosomal RNA (774 nucleotides) under uncultured Acaulosporaceae. Its description in RNAcentral is "eukaryotic LSU rRNA". It matches the Rfam family "Eukaryotic large subunit ribosomal RNA", at positions 11 to 694 of the family's 3401-position model. Lineage: Eukaryota; Fungi; Glomeromycota; Glomeromycetes; Diversisporales; Acaulosporaceae. The record is from RNAcentral.